AACCAACCAACUAAAGACGAAUGAAAGAAAAAAUGAAAAUUUUUACAAGUCGAAACAACGAGAAACUACUAAUAAAACAAGAAAUAUAAAAAUUUACACGUCCGUACUUUACAAAUCACAAAAUCAGACAAAAAGACAAAGUCGAUGGAAGACAGCAACGCUGCUAAAGACCUUCGUAUGACGAGUUGAAUUAUGAAAAACAACGAACGAUUAAACGAGAAAAACGCAAGUCCUCAGCAAUGCGUUGCUUGACGUUGAUUUUCUUUGCGACGAUUUAGUAGAACAAAAACAAAGUUCAUGUAUGCGUUCAUAUGCGUCAAAAACAACAAAGAAUUUGUUCGACAAAGUUCCACGAACAGCAACGCAUACUUGGGUGUUUGACUUUCUAUAUCUAGUAUUUUAUAUUUGUUUUAAAUUUUUUUCUUUCAAUAAAAUUUAAUAUUUUAGUUUAUACUUUAA
Molecule: long non-coding RNA, 459 nt
Organism: Lucilia cuprina (Australian sheep blowfly)
Lineage: Eukaryota; Metazoa; Arthropoda; Insecta; Diptera; Calliphoridae
Exons: 2
Source: RefSeq, a predicted model, not a curated record